This 5239-nucleotide long non-coding RNA is filed under the name Arabidopsis thaliana (thale cress). Its description in RNAcentral is "long non-coding RNA (ATHA_LNC000740)". The record is from RNAcentral. Lineage: Eukaryota; Viridiplantae; Streptophyta; Magnoliopsida; Brassicales; Brassicaceae.
UUUGCUUUUAUUAACAGAUGUUGAUGCUCCUCUAAAAGCUCUACCAAUAUAAGAUGUUGAACCUUUUUUCAUUUUUUAUUAAUAAAAGAUCGAUGCAAAACAAAAAUACAAUUUUAACAUAAGAAAUAAGUUAUACAACAUCAUUGUAACAAAAUAAAAACAACACAUAUAUUAGGUGAAGACAUGGUAAAACGAUGGCAUCUUCUCUCAUAUUUAAUAACACUUAGGGUACAUCGUGAAAAGUGAUAAAUAUACAAUGAUGACUUUUUCAAAUCAAUUCAAGGAGAGGUAACGAGGCGGCUAGACAAGAACACCGUGCACCCGUCCUUUGGCGACAUCGUGGGGAUAUGCACAAUCUCAUCGCAACCAUCUGAUCGGACCCUCUUGAAAUCAAACAUCGAGGAGAACAUGGCAAUGAAGAGCACGAGGUGGUUCAGCGCGUAACGUUGGCCCACGCAUUGGUGCGAGCCAAUUCCAAAAGUUAGGAAAUUGCGUUUGAACACCUCAUCCUCUUGCCUUGUCUCGCUAAACCGGUCAGGAUCGAACCGGUCUGGUUCAGUAAACCCUUGAAAAGAGGCGUCAAAAAGGGAAGGAAACACAAUUGUACCUUUUGGGAUUGUGUACGAUUCCGUGAGACGGAAGUCACUAACAGCAACAUGUGGGACCAUACUUGCUGGUGGUCGGUAUCUUAAGACCUCACGCGCCACAGCCCGAAUGUACUUCAUCUCCGCGAGCUGAUCGGCUGUGAUCGACUCCUUGGACUCAGGCGACCAAAAUCUUGCAACGUCCUCCCUCACUCUUCUUAGCACUUCUGGCUCGGACUCAAGCAGCACCACUGCCCAGAGGAGUGAUGACGUAGACGCGUCCUGUGAGGCAAACAGAAAAUCAACGAGCACACAACUAAUCUCUUCGUCUUUGGAGUGAGGCGGUGGAGGACUCUCAGCUACGAUCGAAUGCGUCCAGAAAUCGACUAAACAUGUUGGAUUCUCUCCUGCGGCCAUCUUUUCUUUUGAUUUUCUCACGCAAAGAGACAUUGUAUUCACUAGCCUCGAUACCGCCCGACGAGCCUCCCCGAACGUGAAGCCAGGGAGGUCGAUCGGGAGCGCCAUUGUUCCAGGAUUGAACACAUUGUAAUCAUCACGGAUCGUGUUCUUGACUUCCUUGUCGAGAUAUGGUCCAACAAAAACCGUCUGAGAAGUCUCGAGGUUGAGUUCACGGAUGAGUUGUCUCAUCGAAACCGGACGAGAUCCACUGGAAAAACUUUCCUCCCACUGCCGUAAAUGACGGAGGAUAACUAUUUGCUGGAGGGAAGAAUAAGCAGAGAGUGGCUUGCGGGUGAAGUUAGGAGCGACUUGACGACGAACGGAUUUGUGAUUCUCGCCAAACAUAAAGAUAAGGCUAUGAUCACCGAAGAGCUUCUUUCCGAAUGGAUGUCCAACAAGUUGGAAAGCAUCGGGACGAAUGUUGGAGAAGACUUUAUUGGAGAGCUCUGCGUCUUUAAUGUAUAUGAUGAAUUUUCCAAUAAGGUAGUUGACGGAGAGGCCAACGGACGUGUCCGCCAUCGCGGAUUGCUUGUCCCAGAAGGAAGUUGGGUCGCGAAUAAGUGCAACAACAUUUCCAAUUAUCGGAAAGACAAAGAGAGGGCCAGGGAGGUUACGUUUCUUGAGACGGUAAAAGAGUUGCUCGAGCAGAAGGAAUAGAAGUAAUGCUGAGACUAAGUACGGUGUAAGAGAAGCAAAUAGGGAAACUGAGGAAACCAUUGCUCUUUGUUUUCUAUUAUUUGCUUUUUGUCGUACUUGGUGUUCUUAGUUUGGUAGGUUUUGCAGAAUAUUUAUAAGAGGUUUUGGGAUAUUAAAUUGAACUGUUUGCAAAUUUAUUAAGACAAGAAGAAUUCAAAUGUCUUUCUUUUUUGGGCAGUCUUUUUUUUUUUUUUUUCUUUUUCGUUUUGUUUCCUCUUUUGUCAAAUGAUAUGUCUUUGUCUGCUCUGUUUUUUUAACUUCGUAAGUAUGUCAUUGUUCACGUGAAGAGAGAAAGAGGAAGAUUAUUCUAUUGAAUUGAUCCUAAUUUGUGAGUUUACGUGAUUAAUGACUUUUUGUGUUGAAACCAAAUGACUUGUGAUGAGUUAUAGAAAUUUUGAUGUUGUCUUUACCAAUGACUUUGGUUUCAACUACCAAAUGAACUUUUUUGUUUUUGUUUUUGACAGUCUUUGUCACCUUAAAAGGCAUAGUUUGGGAACCAGUAUAUCAAACCUAUUAACCUGAUUUCGUCUAAAUUCUCAAAAUAUCUGGAUAGAGAAAUUCGCAACAUCUUAUAUGCCGGUCGGGAAAAUAAACGAUUUCUGGAUGCAUUGUCACUUUAGUUUAGAGUUUCAUAACACAAGCUUUAUUCUUUUGGCUGUAAGGCUCUGAAUUGGAUACUAGGUUCUAUUAUAGCACUCACGCUCAGUUUUGUUUCAAGCCUAUAAGGUCGACGUUAGCUAACUUAGCUUACACGCCUGCUUGUUUUUCUUCUAUAGUUUCGUUGUAAUUUGUUUUUUUUUUUUGUUCUAAAUAUUAUUAUUAUUAUUUAUAAAUAGAAAUAAUAUUAAAUUCUUACUAUAUUACUUUGUGUUUCUAGUGGCCGUUUUAUAAAUUCAACUUGUUUAACACAUUAUUACUUUAUCAUUUUUACUAAUAGGAUCUAAUACAAUAUGACCAAUCAUAACUAUUAUCUUUGAUUUAAUUUACUGAUAAUUUAUAGUUUGAUUAGAACAUAUAACCUAUGAUUUAACGAUAACUUAUAGUUUGAUUAGGACACAUAACCUAACAAUGCUCUCAUCCUACAUCAUCUUUGAGGAAUUACGCAAAGCGGCUUUUGACAUACAUCGAGACAAAGCACCAGAGCCGGACUGUUUUUGUGCUAGUUUUUUCCGCACUUAUUGAGAUAUUAUAGGAGCUGAUAUUUCCCAAGAGAUCCAAACCUUUUUCAAUUUUGGGUGCAUGUCAAUCAGAAUGAAUGAGAUAUCAGCUCCUAUAAUAUUUUUGGGUCCAUGCAAAUAUUAUUAGUAUGCAUUACCUUUAUAGGCAUUAACGGUGCAUUUAUUUUGAUGUUGCUAUAUGAUAUAUUUGGCCAAUUUACUGAUAUAAUAAACCGUAGACUAAAGACUUGGUAAAUGAUAAUAAAAGGCUUUUAUUAAAAGCCCCACUAAACCGUUGACUCAAUACUUGGUACCAAUUAUUGAUGAUUGAAGGGGUGGAAGACUUUCGUAAAAUAAUUAAACCGUUGACUAAAGAGUUUCUUCUUAUUAAAAAGACCCAAUGGAGCAAGCAACGUAAUAAUGUGUGACGUUAAGUAUAUCGACAUCACUUUAACAAGCGACAUUUAUUUUUAUGUCUAAUAUAUUUGGUUUGGUUUAAGUAAGUUUAGUGACUGUUUUUCUGUGACACAAAAUCAAAAUCUCUCUUUUUACAUUAACCGAUGUAAACCGAUAACAAAUCCUUUGUUUUAGAUUUAUUUUAAGUCGGUUUAGAUUGUCACGUUAAUAAACCGAUAUAUACCCGCAUUUGUUUUGUAGUAGGAAUGUCAAAAUAAGUUAUUGUCUAUAGGUUGACUUGACCUUGUUUGCCCAGGUUUCUAGUGGGUUUGUGUUGAGAUGUUAAUCCAUAUUAAUAAAUGAUGGUCUUGUGUUUGUUUGUAUCUCAUCAUCAGUUGCUGGAUCAGUGAGACUUAAAGAUGUUCUUUCUCUAUUUGAGGCCACUCAAUGUCCAUUAGAUAUCAUGUGGUUGGCAAUGUUAUCUUGUUACGCAGAGCAGACAUGAUCAAUGGUUGUGACUGGUGUGCGGAUUUGUUAAACUGAUUAUUUGUGUGACAAGAAGACGCAUAAUAGUCAUCCCAUGCAGGAUUGGUCUAACAUUUUUCUACUAGUGCGAAGAAGACAAGACAUGUGAACUUGGGUUUCGAUUUCUUUUAAAGCCCACUAAAAUAGAUAUUUAUAAACUCGGAUUGGGAAACACCUUCGCCUUAAUUUCAGUGAUCAAGCAUUUAAAUCAUCUUUUCAAAACUAAAUUCUACUUUUACGUAUCCAAGGGGUAUUUUUACCAACUCUGUUGUCCAAUCCCAAUGCUUUAAUGUACUCUAAAAUUCUAUUAAUCGUCGUGCAUACAUCCCGAUUAUUUCCAAUGUACAAAAUGUGUUAAAUCCAAGAGAAAAGAAAAAGCAUGCAAAAAGCGUAGGAUACUAUUACCCAAAAUCAAAUAGCCUUGUCACUUGUCAACAAAAAACAUACUAGCAAAGCUUAUUAAAAAUAUAUUUGAAAAAGUUAAAAUAAAUAUAAGUGAAAUAGAUAGUUUCUCACUAGAUAGAUAGUAUUAAACUUUUGAUUUGGGUGCCACAAUUCUAAUCACUAUUUCCGGAACUAGUUCAAAACAGUUUGUACUAAUGGUUAAAAUGUUACAUCAAAUCUAGAUGAUCGUCUAUGUUUGGUUGUCUCUAAAUUAUGGAGUUAAAGUCCUUCGAGAAUGAUUUUCAGAGUUUGAUCUUACUCACCACCAAAUCAGAUCCUUGAAAAUCUUCUUUUAAUUUUCUAUUUGCUGCUUGUCGAGAGUUUGGAAAAGUAACAUUUUUGUUUUUGCUAAUUGUUGCAUUCACAACUGCAGCCUCGGGACUAAUUGUAGAUGCUGUUAACAAUUCAGUAACUCACGUUCAGAAAAAAAAGUUCUGAAGCUGGAUUUUCUGAAUGAUCUGAAGAUAAUAAUUUACAAUAUACACGUACACAAAUACGUUCACUUGAAUAAAUAGAUGAUAAGUACAAAAAUAAUUGUUACAAAACUGAAAACUCACAAAUUAAACAGUAUUUACUUUAAGGAUUUUUUACACAAACCUUUACCAAAAAUGUAUAAGUAGAUUGGUAGAGGAAUGUUAAUGAAUCGUAUAACAACAGUAAUGAUUUGAGAUCCGAAUAUAAAAUAUGCAAAUAAAGGUAAAAUUUGAACAGAUGAAACAAGUUAUAUAACAUUAUUGGGACAAAAUAAAACAAGAACACGAAUUAAAUAUGGUGAAGACAUGGCGAAACAAUGACAUCUCCUCUCAAAUUUAAUAACACUUAGGGAACAUCAUGAACAAUCAUAGAAUAUACACUGACGAUGACUUUUAUCAAAUCAAUUCAAGGAGAGGUAACGAGGCGGCUAGACAAGAACACCGUGCAUCCGUCCUUGGGCGACAUUGUGGGGAUAUGCACAAUGUCAUCGCAACCAUCCGAUCG